GUCCCUUCUGCUAUUUUACCUUUCUGCUACUUUCUGCUUAUUUUGCACCCUUCUGCUCCUUUCUCAUUCUGAUCCCUUUCUGCUCCUUGCAGACCCUUUCUGCUCCCUUUUCUACUUUAUCUUUGUGCUCCUUGCUGUCCCUUUCUGCUCCUUCUCCUACUUUAACUUUGUGCUCCUUCUGAUUCUUUCUGCUCCUUUACCUUUGUGCUCCUUCCUGCUCCUUGCAGGCCCUUCCUGCUCAUUCUCCUAUUUUACUUUUGUGCUCCUUCUGCCCCUUCCAGCUCAUUUAUGACCCUUUCUGCUCCUUCUACUUUACCUUUGUGCUGCUUUACCUUCCAGCUCCUUGCUGACCCUUCCUGUUCAUUUCUGUUCCUUUCUGCUCCUUCUCCUACUUUACCUUUGUGCUGCUUUACCUUUCAGCUCCUUGCUGACCCUUCCUGUUCAUUUCUGUUCCUUUGUGCUCCUUCUCCUACUUUACCUUUUGUGCUCCUUCCUGUCCCUUACAGCUCCUUGCUGCCCCUUUCUGCUCCUUGAUGUCCCUUCCUGCUCAUUUCUGUUCCUUCUCCUUUUCUUACUUUACCUUCCUGCUCCUUGCUGACUCUUCAUGUAGGCUGUCUCCCCCAUCCCUCACUUCCAUAGGCGUGCGCACGGGGUGUGUCGGGUGUGCAUG
Pelobates cultripes (western spadefoot toad) is the source of this 670-nucleotide non-coding RNA. NCBI's taxonomy places the organism in Eukaryota, Metazoa, Chordata, Amphibia, Anura, Pelobatidae. The record is from the annotation of a GenBank genome assembly.